Carya illinoinensis is the source of this 2847-nucleotide RNA transcript. It is a transcript of the gene named histidinol-phosphate aminotransferase, chloroplastic, with no coding region annotated. Lineage: Eukaryota; Viridiplantae; Streptophyta; Magnoliopsida; Fagales; Juglandaceae. The record is from RefSeq and is a predicted model, not a curated record. The transcript is spliced from 11 exons.
UCUUCUUGUUCUUGUGUUGUUUUUUCUCCCUCCAACUUUUGUUACUUCUGUAUUAUUAAGCUCACUGGCUCUCGUAUGCCACCGAACCCCUUCCCCGAGUUUUGUCGUCGACUCUGCUAUCUCACACUCAUUCCACUGUGAGUUUCAUGGGCGCCAUUGAUAUUUACAACGCCUCCUCUCUCUGUUUGAUCAAGCGCAACACCGGUUCUGAACAAUUUGUUGCGCCUCAAUUGCACAGACCCAUUUGUUCAUUUGAAGGGAAACGGACACGGGUCUUUGCUAUGACCUCCACUAUUCCUUCCAUACAAGACGUCGAUGAGGGUCAGCAGCGUUUGACCGGUGACUCCUUCAUUCGACCCCAUUUGAGGAAGUUAUCUCCUUAUCAGCCCAUUUUGCCUUUUGAGGUAUUAUCAUCUCGUCUUGGAAGGAAGCCUGAGGAUAUCAUCAAAUUAGAUGCGAAUGAAAACCCCUAUGGUCCUCCCCCAGAGGCAAGUCAUAUACGCCAUUAUAAUUUCUAUGUUUUCGAAGCUUUGGCCUCGAUGAAGUUUCCGUACGUCUAUCCGGACCCUGAAAGCCGCCGUUUGCGUGCUGCCCUUGCCCAAGAUUCAGAACUUGAAUCUGAGUAUAUUCUUGCAGGAUGUGGGGCGGAUGAGCUCAUUGAUUUGAUUAUGAGAUGUGUGCUUGAUCCUGGUGACAAGAUAGUGGACUGCCCUCCAACCUUUACAAUGUAUGAGUUUGAUGCUGCAGUAAAUGGUGCAUUUGUAAUAAAAGUUCCAAGGAAGGCAGAUUUUAGCUUGAAUGUAGAACAAAUAAUAGAUGUUGUUGAAUGGGAGAAACCCAAAUGCAUAUUUUUAACAUCUCCCAACAAUCCAGAUGGGAGUAUAAUUGAUGAUGAAGUUCUCAUGAAAAUCCUUGAGCUUCCCAUAUUGGUUGUGCUGGAUGAAGCAUACAUUGAGUUUUCAGGAAUUGAGUCAAAGAUGAAAUGGGUGAAAAAGCAUGAGAAUUUAAUUGUUCUUCGAACAUUUAGCAAAAGGGCUGGUUUAGCUGGACUUCGAGUGGGAUAUGGAGCAUUUCCAUUGAGUAUUAUUGAGUAUCUUUGGAGAGCAAAGCAACCUUACAAUGUUUCGGUUGCUGCUGAAGUUUCUGCUUGUGCAGCUUUGCAGAAUCCCUCAUAUCUUGAGAAAGUGAAAGAUGCUUUGGUACAAGAAAGGUUGAGGCUUUAUAAUUUUCUGAAGGAAGUGCCAUUCCUCAAUCCAUAUCCAAGCCAUUCUAAUUUCAUUCUUUGUGAGGUUGCAUCUGGAAUGGAUGCUAAGAAGCUAAAGGAGGACCUUGCAAAAAUGGGCGUAAUGAUCCGUCACUACAAUAACAAAGAACUGAAGGGUUAUGUUCGCAUGUCUGUUGGGAAGCCUGAACACACAGAUGCCCUGAUGAACUGCCUUAGACUCCUGUCCUAGUCCUGUGACUGAGCAGGGUCAACAUUUUAGGGAGCAGAAUCUGAUUAAGAGAAGGUGAAUGAUGCGUUCUUGUUUAAUCUAGACAGUUCUCUAUGGGUAUAGUUAAACCUUCUUUGCUAGAGAGGGAGAGCGAAAGGCUCAAUUAUCUUUACAUUUGAAUUCCUAUUUUAUGUGGUUGUUUUUCUUUGCUUCUUCAUAAGAGGAUACUUAUCACUCCCUAGCCCUAGGUCUUAUUGUUAGGAUUGGAUAUCUGUGUGUCGGGAGACACAGGUCUGGGAUUUAUCUGGGUAAAAUAUGUUGUGUUUGCACGGUCUUUGGAAUUCCUUGUCAUAAAAAAAGGAUUGGAGUUUUUUGGGAUUUAAGCCCAUGGCUUAUAAUUCUGGACCGAUUUGGGCUAUUAUUUUGGACUAGUUUUGGUCCAACCUUGCAGAUUGGCUGCCAGCAUAGGGAUUGAUUGAAGAUUAUUGGGUAAAGCAUUGUUUUUAGGCUCAAGAAAGCAGUAGGAAAUGCCCUGGCCGAACCCCUGAGUGGGCUACCAAUCCUAAUUCAAUUAGGAUAAGUCAAGAGACUCUACUAGUCUCUGCUCACUUGGACUCCAAGAUACAUCAGCAAACGCCUAGAGAAGUGGCUGGCCAGUAAAGAUCCAAGAAAAACCCCCAAUUCAUUAGGAAUCUUAAUCCUAGACAGAUUAGGACCCUAUCACCACAUAUCCUGUGAUACCCCAUACUAACUAAUGAAUGUAGGUGGUGUAUGGGAUCCCACAUUUCUUGGGAAUGAGAAAUUCUUUCUCUUUAUAAUGAUUCCAGUUGUACCAUUGACUAGCCCUUUUAAAGUAUGGACCAUGUGUGGCUCAGGCCUUACCUCGGGGUGUUACAAAGGGUAUAAGAGUUUAUCCCAACCAGAAGUGUGGGACGUGAGCCGUGCCACCUAUGAUGGAAUGGCUGUUUGGGAGGGAAGUUCUAGCUCUUUAUAAUUGGCCUAGCGAGCACAUCAGGAAUUUAAGGGGGAGAUUGAUACCUCCAUACUAACUGAUAAGUGUAGGUGGUAUAGCUGCCGCUCUUUGACAGCACUUGCCGCCUUUGGGAGCGCUCUGGUCAUCAGCCCCACAAGCUUCUUGACAGGCGAAGUAAAAAUGCCAAAGCAAAUACAUGAGAUCAAGGAUUUCCUUCUCACUGCAAGAAGGAUGCUCGCUCUGUCCAAAUCAAGAGGAGCAGGGAUGUGGUGAAGUUUAAAGUUCGCUGCUCCAAGAACCUUUGCACUUUGUGUGUGUUUGACUCAGAGAAGGCUGAGAAGUUGAAGCAGUCCCUUCCUCCAGGUUUGAGUGUGCAGGAUCUUUGAAGGAGUGCUAGUUCUUUUGAGUUCCCAUGAGAAGUUGAAACAUUUUUGUUCUUUC